Molecule: long non-coding RNA, 775 nt
Organism: Peromyscus eremicus (cactus mouse)
Lineage: Eukaryota; Metazoa; Chordata; Mammalia; Rodentia; Cricetidae
Exons: 2
Source: RefSeq, a predicted model, not a curated record
CGCACGGGCCGCCGGCCGGCGCCUACUUAUUGGGUUCAGCGCGCCCGGAAGUCCCACCCUCCCUUCGCCAUGGGCCGCCGUCGCCGUCGCUCAUGACCACAGAGAAGCGCGGGGACCAAUAAAGGGAGGGGUUGGAGCAGAGUUAGUUAACGGGAUUGGAUAACGGAGCAGAAGUUCAGGGCGUGGCCUAGGGGCCAGUGGGCGGGGUGGAGGUUGUGGGACGUAAAAGACCAGCGGCCCAAGGGGCUACAGGGCGGAGCCUAGAGAGGAAUGGUGGGGCGGGGCUUCGAGUGGGACGCGGUCAGGAUUUGGGGCGGGGUGAAGGGGAUUAGAUUAAUUAGGCACUGAGACAGGGCGGGGCUUCAAUAGGAGAGGGGGCGGGGCCUAAGAGCGGGAUGUGGCCGUGGCCUCUGGGGUCACUGGGUGCGGUGGAGGCGAAAGGAAGAGGGAAACCAGUAGCAAGAAGCGAUGGGGCGGGGCCUAGGAAGGGCGGGACUUAAACAACCAUACUGUACAAGCUAUUGGAUGACAUCAGAUAAAAUGUAUCCAAUCAGCGUAGAAGACGGAUUAUUGACAGCCUAACAGAAUGAAGUUCAUUGGCUACACCUCGACCAAUGGCUGACAAGAGAACAGGACUAAAGCAUCAUGUCCUGGAACAUCUACUAAGUACUUCCUAGCUGCCUUCCUCACGGUGCUCUACUCCUGUCUCACUGUAGUUCUUGGACCAGAGUCCUCCACAGUUGUCUUAAAUAAAUGACUUCCCUGCUGUCCUCCA